GGAAAGGCGACCGGCAGGGAUUAUUCAACAACUAAAAAACCCACCAUCACACGCUACCAUCAUCCCCUGCACUGUGGAAUUAUUGAGGUAUGGAAGUGACCACCAGGAGGUGCUAUUUCACCUAGACCAGCUUUUCCAUUCAGCGCCAUGAUGUAUCCUGGGCAGCCAAAUAAAAGGUCCACUGCAGUGAGGGAUGAUGAUGGAUGAGGUAGCUGUGCAGCAAAAAGAAACGGACCUCUAUGAAUGAGCCCACAGGGCUGUGUCCAUGCAGUAGCCUAGCUAUCACCCAGUCAUCUCAACGGUGAAUUCUAGGUCAAGUGGAAGACGGGUAUGUAUGUGCACUGUGUGUGUGUGUGUGUGUGUGUGUG
Long non-coding RNA from Alosa sapidissima (American shad), 368 nucleotides. RefSeq lists it as uncharacterized. The record is from RefSeq and is a predicted model, not a curated record. The transcript is spliced from 3 exons. NCBI's taxonomy places the organism in Eukaryota, Metazoa, Chordata, Actinopteri, Clupeiformes, Clupeidae.